This 6047-nucleotide long non-coding RNA is filed under the name Nicotiana tabacum (common tobacco). RNAcentral describes it as "long non-coding RNA (NTAB_LNC008132)". The record is from RNAcentral. Lineage: Eukaryota; Viridiplantae; Streptophyta; Magnoliopsida; Solanales; Solanaceae.
UCGCCCCGCAACCCGAGGUUUGCUUUCCAGUUGAGCUGGGUCUGUUCAGUUCCGUUCGUGAUUCCGGCGCUGCUACGUUUCCUGUUAGUCCCGUCGAUUAGCAUUUUCAGAUUGUAAGUCAUUUAAAUUUCAGAUUAAUAGAGGUUUAUCUUUUCUUCUCCCUUUGUUUCAUGUGUUGAUUGGUUCCGUGAAGAAUUGGAUUUCGUGGUCAUUUUCUUUGUGUUCAUCACUGCACCACACCUCAGUUUUCAUUUGUAAUUUCUCUUAUUUGUUUGUUGAUCCGGUUUGUUAGUGCUCGUUUGGUUAUAACGCCAAAUCCGGUUCUGGCUUUAAUUCAUUGGCUUAAAGUAAUGUUAGUAGAGGAUUUGAAGUUAGGCGUGGUUGGUUUAAAGUCAGAUCUGAAACUUGAUUAAUAAUGGUAAGAAUUUGAGCUUAAGAAAGUUUAUGUUAUUCUUGUUUUCGUUCUCUUUCUAAUUACUUGGAUCCAGAAAUAAAAGUGCAAUUAUUAAGAAUUGAAUUGUAUUUAAGAAUGCAAAGUAUCUGCAAUUUGGUUCGGGCAAUGAGGAUUUGUCCAUAAUUAUAGAUUGAAUAGAUUGAUUAUAAUAUUGGUCGCAGUUAUCCCUGAUUUCAUCUCUAAAAUAACAAAUGAAUUGCCUCCUUGCUUAUUCUUGCUGAAUAAUUCUUAAAAAACUUAUAGUUUUGCUACGAGCUAAAAAUAUUACACUACCACUUGAAAAGCUUAUUUUGGAUAGAUCGUUGUUCAUUUUAUUUCAUAUUGAAAUAUCAAGUCAAUUUGGAAGUCAUAAAUUGUAUCGCCUAGCAUUGUUAUGGAAUUAUGCAAUAAAAAUGGGUUAAGCCAUAUUAUCGUGGGACACUGAGAUGUGGUGCCAUGAUUUCCUGAGGAUUACUAUAAAAUUGAAAAGGUUAGCAUUUCUCUAUUUCAUUUAUAGAUAGGCUUAUUGCUUUCUUAAAUGCAUGGCCCUCGCUUAAUUAAUUUCAAUCCUUAGAAAUCGAGGCAUGCUAUUUAGUUGAAUUUUCCAUGGCCCUCACAAAGUUGAAAGUGCAGAGUUGCUUUAGGCGCGUUAUUUUAAUAAUUUACCUUCCUAAACUCGGGUGCGCAUUUAUGUGACCCAAAUCCAAAUCUCAACAAUGUUAGAUAAAAUAUGUCGGGGACCGCGGGCGCAUUUAUGUGACGUGGUUCAAGACGUGUUUUAAAUAAGGUUGAAAUCUUCCUAAAAAAAUAAUUAAAUAAAAGCGGUUAUAAAGUUAAAAUUGCACCAUAUGCUAAAACAUGUACUAAAAUCAAUAAAUAGGCCAAUUAUAAUAGUUGAGCGACCGUGCUAGAACCACGGAACUCGGGAAUGCCUAAUACCUUCUCUCGGGUUAACAAAAUUCCUUACCCGGAUUUCUGUGUUGGUGGACUGUAAAACAGAGUCAAUUUUUCCUCGAUUAGGGAUUUGAUACUUGCGACUUGGGACACCCUAAAUUAUCCCAAGUGGAAACUCUGAAUUUUUAAUAAAAUAAUCCCGUUUCGAUUGUUACUUUAAGUUGGAAAAAACUCCCUUAUAUUCCCCUUCCCGGGGGGUGUAGGAAAAAAGGAGGUGUGACAGCUCUGGCGACUCUGCUGGGGAUCGAACCCAGAAUUCCUAGUUCAGGGUUCAGAAAUCAAGCUUGGGUGAAUUGUUAUAUUUGGCUUUAUUUAUUAUCUGAUUUUAUUACAUGUUUGGGCCUAAUGUGCUAAAUGUUGCUUUUUACCGCUUUGAUAUUAUCUGAACUGUAUAUAUAAACUGCUACGAAACCUCUUUCUUCUCUCUCCUGAGGAGUGCAUGCUGGUCGUGACUUCUUUUUAUUAGUGUCAUAUCCCAAAUAGAAUGAGGUUCAGACAAGUUGCAAAGUCGAAUGAUCUUUUGGUUAUCGGUACGCAGCCCCCCGGCUCGAGUGGUCCGCUCGGGUGCCCAAGUCUAGAACAGUAUACCCAGGUUUUAUACUUGGAAUAACUCAGCCUCAUGCUGGAUCCCUAGUAGGAACGUUUGUUUGCAUCAUGUGCAUUUGACUUUGGAGACUCAACACAGAGAUUGGGUCCGUGUAGGACAGGUGUACCCAAAAAUAAAAGACUAUCCUGAUGCAUCCUAUGUGCUAUGUGUUGCAUUUAUUUAAGGGUAAAAGGGUCAUUUGGCGGACCAAUGAUAGUUGAGGGCUAAUGAAAAAAAAAAGAAAAAAAAAAGAGUGAAGUAUGAAAAUAAGGCAAGUAGGGCCCAGUUAUGCUUUCUUUCACAUUUUUUAAAAGAAAAGGAAAAAAAACAUGAAAAUUCAAAAGAUUUUGCACUUUUUUUUUGUCAUUUUUCGAAAAUCAAAAAUCAAAAAAAAUGAGGAUAAAGAAAAUCCAAAAAGAUUUUACAUGUUUCAUCAUUUUUUUUAAAAAAAGGACAAAAAAANNNNNNNNNNNNNNNNNNNNNNNNNNNNNNNNNNNNNNNNNNNNNNNNNNNNNNNNNNNNNNNNNNNNNNNNNNNNNNNNNNNNNNNNNNNNNNNNNNNNNNNNNNNNNNNNNNNNNNNNNNNNNNNNNNNNNNNNNNNNNNNNNNNNNNNNNNNNNNNNNNNNNNNNNNNNNNNNNNNNNNNNNNNNNNNNNNNNNNNNNNNNNNNNNNNNNNNNNNNNNUUUGCGUUUUUAUAUUUUCGUUAGAAUUUUGUUUAGGAAUACUACUCCUAGAAAUUGGAAAAAAAAUCGUUUGAUGUGGUUCUUCCUUUAGGCAAUUAAUAUCUAAAACUUAAAAUAAAAAUUUAUUUUUAUAUUUCCUUUAGUAUAUUAGGACUAAAAAAUAGAGAAUUUUUAUUUUUUAGUACAUCUUUAAAGGUUUUCUCUAAGAUAUUGAUUCCAAAAAUCCGAAAAAGAUUUUCUUUUGAGGUUUUUUUCUUUGCAAAAUUAAUAAAAAAUGAAUAGAAAAAAAAUUUCUUUUAUUUUUACUAGAUUUAGGACAUUGUACAUAGAAGAAAUAAGAAUCUUCUAUUUAUUUUUAAAAUUUCUCCUUUAGGUAAUUAAAAAUUGAAAUCCAAAAAUAAUUUUUAUCUUUUUCAUUUCUCAUUACGAAGUUUUUCUUCAAGGAUAUCAAACGAAAAUUCAAAAAAAAGGAGUCAAAAAAUAUCUUUCUCUUCUAGAAUUUUUCCUUAAUAGAGUAUUUGUUUCCAAAAAGAAAAGAAAAAGAAACAAAAUCCGUUAAGCUUGAGUUUUGAAUAUGUUAUAGAACAUUAAGUCUAGAAAAUUCAAAAAAAGGUUUUGCUUCUUUUAUUUCUCUUUUCUCNNNNNNNNNNNNNNNNNNNNNNNUACCAAAAGAAAAGAAAAGAAAGAAAAAAAAAGAGAAAAAGAUGGUGAAAUUAUGGGCUGUGAGAAAUGAGAAGGAAGAAAAAGAGCGACAAUCAGAAAGAAAAAGGGGAAAGAAAAUGAGCGAGCUAAGAAGUGCUAAAAAAGCAAAGAAAGGAGAGGAUUGAAAUGAACAAAUUGGGAUGAUGCCAUAUGACCUUCAUACCCUUGAAGUCAUUCUAGAACCGUUAAUUGUUGCUAGGUGCAUUGCACGCAAUGUGAUAUUUUUGAUGUUAAAUGCCCUAAAGCUAACAGGAUGAACCCAUUAUGUUCCUUUUCGUUAUCUUUAUUUAGCAGAAAGGUGGUUGGUUUGUGGUUCUUAAAGUGGUAACUCUUCACUACAACAUAAGGUCGAAAGGCAAUGGCAGACGGCAACGGAAUUGGGUCGGUUGAUACCGGUGCCCGAAAGCAGUUGGUUGAACAUGACACUGGUUUGGCUGAUGAGGUAAGGAAGUUAGACAACACAUGACGGACAUGUAUCAGGCCUGGAUGACUGGGAAGGCACCACCCCCGCCACCACCUAGCUUCUUAGAUGCUACACUUACCCAAACUUUGGUCAUAGUGCCGGAUGAUCCCCCAUACUCUCUAGAUCCACCCAUUUAUCACAGCUUUCCCAACCACCCUAGCAGCUCCAUCACUCAUCCUCCAAUUACCUCUCCCCAAAAUUACCCUCCUGUCAUAUCCACUAUUCCCAACAAUGAAUACCCACUCAAAGCUCAGGAUGCCCAAUAUUACUCCUCAAAGGUUGCCCACAAGGUUCUUGACUCAUACAAGAAGAGCCCUCGGAAGAGCUUCAUGCUGAAAAUGAAAAGGUUACAGGAAAAGAAGGGCGAGAUGAGAUAUCCGGGAAGCUAAAAAGCAUAGAACAAUCCUUAAGGAACAUGCAAGGGACGGGAGACCAGGUUAACAUAUCUUACAAAGAGUUGUGUAUGUUCCCUGACAUUCGCCUGCCCACAGGUUUUAAAGUGCCAAAGUUUAACUUGUAUGAUGGGUGUAGAGAUCCGGUAGCCCAUUUGAGGGAUUAUUGCAGUAAAAUGAGAAGUGUUGGCGAGAAAUAUGAUUUAUUGAUGGCAUAUUUCAGUGAGAGCUUGACUGGGACAGCUCUGGAAUGACAUAAUCGUCAAGAUGCCGGUAAGUGACACACAUUGGGUGACGUGGCUCAAGAUUUUGUCGACGCUUUCAGUAUAAUAUAGACAUUGUCCCCGACCGCUCCUCCCUAUCCCAGAUGGAAAAGAAACCCAAGGAAAGUCAUAAGGAAUUUUGGCUUAGAUGGAACGAACAAGUUGCUCAGGAUAGUCCUCCCAUUGAUAGAAAAAAUGUUGCUGAGCCUCGCCGACGACAGGGUCCAGUGGUCGUUCUAGCUAAACGCUUUUAGCCUCAAUAUCGACCCCGCGGAUAUCCUUGUAAUCCUCCCCACUGCUACUUCUCUCCACAAAACCCCCAAAAUCGUACAUCACAUUCCCGAUACCCCGUCCACAAUGCGCCACCAUAUGCUCUACCUCGAUGAGGCCUACGAUGGCCCACACCACUUCCACAAAUGUCUCACCCGCCCCCUCAGGCAUAUCAACCAUCUGCCCGUAAAAGGUUCCAACCGAGGCCAGAAUAUAAAAUGAAAAGAUUACUAAAACAAGAAAAUACUUUCACCCAUAUUGGAGAACCGUAUGCUAGUCUGCUCCAAAGGUUGAUGCAAUUGGACAUCUUGAAGCCGAUUCAGAUAAAAAGGCCAAACCCUCUUCCAAAGAAGUUUGAUUUUUCUCAAAGGUGCGCAUAUUGCUCAGAUGCCCUGGGGCAUGACAUAGAAAAGUGUUGGCAUCUGAAAGGAGUAGUUCAGAAGCUUAUUGAUGUAGGUGACAUUACCGCGCAAAAUCCAAAUGCAGCAGAUACCAUCCAAAGUCCAUUGCCCGAGACACAUAUGGAGGACAUGAUUCAUGUGGAAAAGGAAUAUGAGAACUAUUCUGAGAUCCUCGGAGGGCCAGUUGCCGCAAAGCUUUCAGCGCUAUCACUCUUGGUUCCGAAAGUUGAUCAUAAGAACGAGCCGGCCAAAGGGUCCCAAAAGCAAUUUGCUAAGGACAAUGAGAGGAAGACUUGUGAAGGUUCUAGAAAUAUUGAUGUUGAACUCAGUGGCUAAGAUGCAGAACAUGGUAAUUGGAAAGACGCUCCUCUCUUGGCUAGCUAGGGAGGAGUCUUGGCAGUUUAUUUUGUUGUCAUUUCUGUUGUCCGGGUUAUUUUUAGGGUUGUAAUCCGGAUAUUGUCUUGUGACUCAAACCCUUCUAUCCUUUUAUUUUCCCUAGUUCUUUUAGUCACAUUAGCUCGUUUAGUGUUGUCUAGGUUUGUUCCAGGUUUGUGAUCCCAGUUUAGUUUGCUAGUUUUAUUGUUCAAACCCUUUCACCAUCUGUCUAAUGCAAAUUUUCUGUUUUAUGUUAUUUCUAGUCAUUUUUGUUUAGUUAUCUUUUCUUUUUAUAGUCCUUUUCCUGUUGACUCUAGUGACAUGACAUGCACACGUAACUCUCAGCCUUGUUUUUAAAAGUUAGUUUAAUCGUGAAGCAAUUCGGGAGAUGAUAUGGACAUUUGAGGGAAAUAAGUGAAGGGAUUUUGAGAUCACAAAGCCCGAAUUAUGUGAAACUGGGGGAGAUAGAAGAUAAAGAAGUACUAUUGAAACGUAUCCUUCCACAUCAGGCUGAAGCAAAAGGCA